This 517-nucleotide ribosomal RNA is filed under the name uncultured archaeon. RNAcentral describes it as "bacterial SSU rRNA". It matches the Rfam family "Archaeal small subunit ribosomal RNA", at positions 93 to 593 of the family's 1478-position model. The record is from RNAcentral.
GUAACACGUAGUCAACCUGCCCUGGAGACAUGGACAACCCCGGGAAACUGGGAUUAAUCCGUGAUAGGUCAUCUCAUCUGGAAGGAGAGAUGGCUUAAAGGGAUGCGCGGGCUUCUUCUGCGUAUUUGCUCCAGGAUGGGACUGCGUCCGAUCAGGCUGUUGGCGGGGUAAUGGCCCACCAAGCCAGUAACCGGUACGGGCCUUGAGAGAGGUGGCCCGGAGAUGGACACUGAGAGAAGGGUCCAGGUCCUACGGGGCGCAGCAGGCGCGAAACCUUCGCAAUGCGCGCAAGCGUGACGAGGUUAAUCCGAGUGAUUUCCGCUGAGGAGACCUUUUGUCUGCUGUAAAUAGGCAGGCGAAUAAGGGGAGGGCAAGCCUGGUGUCAGCCGCCGCGGUGGGCGGGCUCCUCGAGUGGUCGGGGCCAUUAUUGGGCCUAAAGCAUCCGUAGCCGGUUCCGUAGGUCCUCUGUUAAAUCCACCCCCCCAACGGUUGAACCUGAGAGGAUACCCUCGAGACU